Molecule: ribosomal RNA, 253 nt
Filed under: uncultured bacterium
Lineage: Bacteria
Description: partial 16S ribosomal RNA
Rfam family: Bacterial small subunit ribosomal RNA
Source: RNAcentral
UACGUAGGGUGCAAGCGUUGUCCGGAAUUAUUGGGCGUAAAGAGCUCGUAGGCGGUUCGUCACGUCGGCUGUGAAAACCUGAGGCUCAACCUCAGGCCUGCAGUCGAUACGGACGGACUCGAGUUCGGCAGGGGAGACUGGAAUUCCUGGUGUAGCGGUGAAAUGCGCAGAUAUCAGGAGGAACACCGGUGGCGAAGGCGGGUCUCUGGGCCGAUACUGACGCUGAGGAGCGAAAGCGUGGGGAGCGAACAGG